UACGAAGGUCCCGAGCGUUGUUCGGAAUCACUGGGCGUAAAGGGAGCGUAGGCGGCGUGGUAAGUCAGAUGUGAAAUCCCGGGGCUCAACCCCGGAACUGCAUCCGAUACUGCCAUGCUAGAGGAUUGGAGAGGUAGCUGGAAUUCUUGGUGUAGCAGUGAAAUGCGUAGAUAUCGGGAGGAACACCUGUGGCGAAAGCGGCUCACUGGACCAUAACUGACGCUGAUGCGCGAAAGCUAGGGGAGCAAACAGG
Molecule: ribosomal RNA, 253 nt
Filed under: uncultured prokaryote
Description: partial 16S ribosomal RNA
Rfam family: Bacterial small subunit ribosomal RNA
Source: RNAcentral